GUUGCUGUCCGUGGGGGGGCGCUGUCCGCGUCUUUAGGUCUAAUGGCCGGAGCAGUUGCCCUUCUUUGAGAAUUUCUGCUCCAAUGGAAGCUGCUUCCUUCCAUAAGGGGAACCGAUGUUUUUCAUUGGGAAAGGAUGACGUUCUAUCCCUCUGUAGCGUUCUUCUCUGCUUCCCCAGAUGGAACUGGCGUAGUUGCCCGCCACCCUGGCACUUUCUGGGUGAGCUGAUAGUCCACAUGGGCGUUUGAUGGUUUCCUCAGACCUUGGGGCUCAGUCAUGGCUGUGGUUUCUUUUGGUUAAGCUUCUGGAUGAAUGAUCGUAGUGGGUGACCCCUCUCCUCUGCUUUUGCGGAAAUUUGUGAUCUGCUUAAGAGAAUUAGAAAUGUUUCUUCUGGAAGAUUUCGUUUUCCUCUUCAUGAACACUCCAGUCCCUGGUGUGUGCCUCUCCCCGAGCCCCCCCCACUCUCUAUUUUUGUAUGUACUUCACAUUUUCUUUCCUCUUAAUCCCCCUAGACAGUAGGCUCAUCAAGGCAGGCAGUCCGUGCUCUUCCAGUUGGCCAGCCCUGCAUCCUCUCGCUGCAGCCUUUGUGAGCAUUUGCUGAAUACACUGAAGUGAAGAGCCCUGAUAGUCCAGGCUCAGUUUGGCGACUUUUUCAAAUCACCGGUUCAGGAAAUGAAGUGUUCCUAGGAAGGUUUCAAAUUCUGGGGCUAGAAUUAUUUUACAAAGUCCCAGCAUGCUAUGGCAGAAAUGGCAUUUCCUUGUGAUCUGCAGUGUUGUAAGGGUUACUCUCUGUUUUUGUCUUAGGUUAUAGUAUCUAGUGCACGCGGUAGUUUUACUUUCCUUUGUAAAAUCACUCAUCUAAUGAAGCGCUAAGUAAUGGAUGGAAAGUAGUUGGAAAUAAAUUGUAUUUUGGUGGUAAUCUUCAUGCUGAGGUUAGACAGCCGCCUGUAAUCAGUUAAAUGGGAAACUUUUCAUGAGGGGAGUUUGGAAUGUCUUUUCCCAUAUUAAAUGUAAAGCCUUGUCUAGUUGAGAAAAACAAUAAAUAUAUAAAGAACCUAGCUUCUCCUACUUAUUAUUAACCAUGGAGACCAAAUUUCUUUC
This is a long non-coding RNA of Sarcophilus harrisii (Tasmanian devil), 1101 nucleotides long. RefSeq lists it as uncharacterized. Lineage: Eukaryota; Metazoa; Chordata; Mammalia; Dasyuromorphia; Dasyuridae. The transcript is spliced from 2 exons. The record is from RefSeq and is a predicted model, not a curated record.